GUACAACCCAGAGUGUGCCCUCUCCCAGGUACAGCCACUGGAGCCCUGGGGCAAUACUGUUUAUGGCUAUGCCACGUGCGAAGAUGCAGAAGCCUAUGAGCUGCAGGAUGGUGAGUUCAGCUCUGGGAUCUUCAUGAAAUAUUUGAAGAAACAUAUUUUGCAGGAGAAGAAAGUUACACACAUGCUGGAAGAUGUAUUAGAAGGUAAAGGAGUGGUUUGUACCCAAGCUGGAAAUGUGUUUCCCUAGCAGGGAUGAGAAAAAAUAUCAGCAGAAACCAAGUCCCAGCAAAGGAGAGAGGAAAGAUCAGCACCCCUGUUCUGCUUCCCCAGAAAUGAAGUUGCAGGCUGUAUUCCACGCAAGGGUUUAGUGUUCUGGCAGCAUGGAGCAGAAUGUUGAUGUAGUCUGAAAGGCAGGAUGGUAAAUAAGGAACCUGGAGUGACACUUGUGCCACUAAAAUGUCUUUUCCAGACCUUGGCCAGGAUCCAAUGGUCACUGGGAAGCAGGUGAUGGAGAUCAAACACACUCUGAAGGAAGCCCGUUCCCUGACAGACCCCAUCUGCCCCACAGGAGCAGCCUCAGAGCGCUGGGGAUGCAGCCACGAGCCCCCAAGCGAAACAGUGACGUUCCCCUGUGGAGUGCAGGCAGAGCUUCACUUCCACCGGCUUUUCUCCAACGUGUUGUCUGUCUGCGCCAAGCUGCAGGACCUCCCGGCCCCCAUCACUGAUGCCCAGCUCAUGCUCCGCCAGCCCACUGAAGUGGACGAUGUGACCAAUCUGGAAGAGAGUCACCCAGACCAAAUGGAUUCUCUGCUUACCUCUGUCUAUAGGCAGGAGAAGCUGGACUGUGUCUUCCAACUCUGUGGACUACAGAAAAUUCAGAUGGACGUGGUCCUGCAGUUGGAUUUGCAUUACACUCAGCUGAGCACAAAGCAAAGGACUUCUGAAAGCCUACAGAAAAUCCUCCCAAAACAGCUGCUGGGGCGGUUUUUCACCCAAAGGAACUACACCUGGGCCAGCUAUGACAGCACUCCGGCCCAGGCAGACUCUGGGGGGGCCCUGAGGACAGGCAUUGGCCGCAGCUUGCCCAGCAGCAGCCCCUCCAUGUCCAGGAGUGAGCCAGAGGAGAACGACGAGCGCAGCAUGAGUGAGCUCUGCUCAGCCCUGCUGCGGGCUGGCCCAGGGCAAGAGCACCCCUGA
RNAcentral lists this long non-coding RNA (1197 nucleotides) under Coturnix japonica (Japanese quail). RNAcentral describes it as "lncRNA (ENSCJPG00005000686.1)". The record is from RNAcentral. Lineage: Eukaryota; Metazoa; Chordata; Aves; Galliformes; Phasianidae.